Molecule: long non-coding RNA, 307 nt
Filed under: Zostera marina
Lineage: Eukaryota; Viridiplantae; Streptophyta; Magnoliopsida; Alismatales; Zosteraceae
Description: long non-coding RNA (ZMAR_LNC002531)
Source: RNAcentral
UCAGAGCCUACACCUCGGACGACCAAACGACGAUGAGCCCGGACCAGCUUCUCCGAUUCCUAACUGAAUUCCAAGGAAUGAAACACGCCAAUCUGGAAACUGCAAGGGAGAUCGUGAAUCAGUUCCGAGAUUUCAGAUUUUACAUUAGAGGCGGACAUGUACGUGGAUUGAGUGUCGAUUCCUUCUUCCGGUACCUUUUCUCCGAUCACAACUCUCCAUUGAACCCGUCUGUAAGUAUUGGUUUCCCUUUCUGUCUAUGUGUGAUUUUAUGUUGCGGGAAAUUAAGAUGGUGCUAUAUACAUGAUAG